GAUGCUUCGCUAUUAAAAUAUUUCCCCCCAAUACUGAAGAAUCUCAAACCAGCAACCCUAACGGAGAUUGUGAAGGUUUUCAAAGUGGGGCACCUCGAUUUCUCGAAUCUGUGGUGUGGCGAAUAUCCGUGUUCUUCCGGCUUAACUAGCCUGUUUGAAAGAAAAUGCAAGGGGAAAUAUCUGAUACGGCUCUGUUAUUUGAUGCUUUGGGCAGCACUAUGCUCAGAAGUCAUUCAACUUCCUGCCAUCUCCCUAACUUGUAUUCUCUGGCAAAAUGAAGGUCUGAGACGUUUCUAAAAGACAGAGUUGGAAAUGAACCAUCAUUGGUGUUGACAGAGAUGCCAAGCAGUCACCUGAGUGCAUAUAGCGUUCUACUCCACUAGCAAAGCAUCACACUGGAACCAUCAUCAGUGGAUUGAUUGAAGAGAAACUGCAAGCUUCCUCUGAUCAGUACAAGUCUGAUGAAGUGACAAGAAGCAGUUGAAACACCACCGGAAAUUCUUUGAUAAACUGGUUGACUAUAAAGAAGCAAGAUCUAGUCUUCAUGGAUCUCAGGAACAGAGUUUCCUGGCAUUUCACCAUGUUUCCUCUGUCUUGCUUAUAAUGUACCCUCAAACUAUUUACCCGAAUAAAGAUUUCUUGGAAUGUCUCAGGAAAC
This 658-nucleotide long non-coding RNA is filed under the name Rattus norvegicus (Norway rat). RNAcentral's name for it is "long non-coding RNA NONRATT011484". Lineage: Eukaryota; Metazoa; Chordata; Mammalia; Rodentia; Muridae. The record is from RNAcentral.